UAGGGAAUAUUGGGCAAUGGAGGGAACUCUGACCCAGCCAUGCCGCGUGCAGGAUGAAGGCGUUAUGCGUUGUAAACUGCUUUUUAUAUAGGAAGAAAUAGUCCUUGCGAGGAAAGUUGACGGUACUAUAUGAAUAAGCACCGGCUAACUCCGUGCCAGCAGCCGCGGUAAUACGGAGGGUGCAAGCGUUGUCCGGAUUUAUUGGGUUUAAAGGGUGCGUAGGCGGUUUAUUAAGUCAGUGGUGAAAGACGGUCGCUCAACGAUUGCAGUGCCAUUGAUACUGGUAGACUUGAGUAUGAUUGAGGUAGCUGGAAUGGAUAGUGUAGCGGUGAAAUGCAUAGAUAUUAUCCAGAACACCAAUUGCGUAGGCAAGUUACUAAGUCAUAACUGACGCUGAGGCACGAAAGUGUGGGUAUCAAACAGGAUUAGAUACCCUUGUAGUCCCUGAGCGGGCUGGCAAGGCGCAU
Molecule: ribosomal RNA, 467 nt
Filed under: uncultured bacterium
Lineage: Bacteria
Description: bacterial SSU rRNA
Rfam family: Bacterial small subunit ribosomal RNA
Source: RNAcentral